Molecule: transfer RNA, 66 nt
Filed under: Clinostomum complanatum
Lineage: Eukaryota; Metazoa; Platyhelminthes; Trematoda; Strigeidida; Clinostomidae
Description: tRNA-Ser
Source: RNAcentral
GCGGGCAAUAGGAUAACUAAAUUUGAUUUGAAAUCAAAUUCGUCGUGUUGAUUCACGAUGCUCGCU